This 77-nucleotide transfer RNA is filed under the name Flavobacteriales bacterium. RNAcentral's name for it is "tRNA-Arg". It matches the Rfam family "tRNA". From Rfam's summary of the family: Transfer RNA (tRNA) molecules are approximately 80 nucleotides in length. The record is from RNAcentral. Lineage: Bacteria; Pseudomonadati; Bacteroidota; Flavobacteriia; Flavobacteriales.
GGCCUAGUAGUUCAACUGGAUAGAAUAUCAGAUUUCGGCUCUGACGGCUGGGGGUUCGAAUCCCUCCUAGGUCACUA